CUAGUGUACACAAAGCUACAGCAUUCGAGAAGUUACACAAAAUGUGUUCAAGUGGGAUUCUCAAAACAGCAGCCACCAUUGUGAAUUGCAUUUUCCGAAUGUUUUUCGGCCGCUUGCAGCAGACACAACAACUUGGUUAAGUGUAUGGUGCGGCGGCAAUGGGUGGGUUAGGCUAAGGUUGGGUAGGUUCACCAAAUACGCCCGAGCCGAGCUUCUCGACGAUGACCAGCGACUGGCGCGGAAACUCCUGCACUUGGCAAUUGGCCUGCU
Molecule: non-coding RNA, 270 nt
Organism: Drosophila virilis
Lineage: Eukaryota; Metazoa; Arthropoda; Insecta; Diptera; Drosophilidae
Source: RefSeq, a predicted model, not a curated record